This 460-nucleotide ribosomal RNA is filed under the name uncultured bacterium. Its description in RNAcentral is "partial 16S ribosomal RNA". It matches the Rfam family "Bacterial small subunit ribosomal RNA", at positions 338 to 795 of the family's 1533-position model. The record is from RNAcentral.
CCUACGGGAGGCAGCAGUGAGGAAUAUUGGUCAAUGGCCGGAAGGCUGAACCAGCCAUGCCGCGUGAAGGUCAGUGCCCUAUGGGCGUUAAACUUCUUUUGUGCGGGAGCAAUAAUGGUCACGUGUGGCCAGACGAGAGUACCGUACGAAUAAGCAUCGGCUAACUCCGUGCCAGCAGCCGCGGUAAUACGGGGGAUGCAAGCGUUAUCCGGAUUUAUUGGGUUGAAAGGGUGCGUAGGCUGGGUGGUAAGUCAGCGGUGAAAUGCCCCCGCUCAAAGGGGUGAAGUGCCAUUGAUACUGCCUGGCUGGAAUGCGGAUGCCGUGGGAGGAAUGUUUGGUGUAGCGGUGAAAUGCAUAGAGAUCACACAGAACACCGAUUGCGAAGGCAUCUCACGAAUCCGCGAUUGACGCUGAUGCACGAAAGCGUGGGUAUCAAACAGGAUUAGAUACCCCGGUAGUC